This 493-nucleotide ribosomal RNA is filed under the name uncultured bacterium. RNAcentral's name for it is "partial 16S ribosomal RNA". It matches the Rfam family "Bacterial small subunit ribosomal RNA", at positions 28 to 506 of the family's 1533-position model. The record is from RNAcentral.
GACGAACGCUGGCGGCGUGCUUAACACAUGCAAGUCGAACGGUGAAGCGCCUUCCUUUUUGGUGGGUGUGGAUGAGUGGCGAACGGGUGAGUAACACGUGAGUAACCUGCCCCCUUCUUCUGGAUAACCGCAUGAAAGUGUGGCUAAUACGGGAUAUUCUGGGUCUGUCGCAUGAUGGGUCUGGGAAAGAUAUUGUUUCGGUGGGGGAUGGGCUCGCGGCCUAUCAGCUUGUUGGUGGGGUGAUGGCCUACCAAGGCGGUGACGGGUAGCCGGCCUGAGAGGGUGGACGGUCACACUGGGACUGAGACACGGCCCAGACUCCUACGGGAGGCAGCAGUGGGGAAUGUUGCACAAUGGGCGCAAGCCUGAUGCAGCGACGCCGCGUGAGGGAUGGAGGCCUUCGGGUUGUGAACCUCUUUCGCCAGUGAAGCAGGCCUGCCUCGUUUGUGGGUGGGUUGACGGUAGCUGGAUAAGAAGCGCCGGCUAACUACGU